CCUACGGGUGGCAGCAGUGAGGAAUAUUGGUCAAUGGCCGAGAGGCUGAACCAGCCAAGUCGCGUGAGGGAAGACGGCCCUACGGGUUGUAAACCUCUUUUGUCGGGGAGCAAAGCGAACCACGUGUGGUUCAUUGAGAGUACCCGAAGAAAAAGCAUCGGCUAACUCCGUGCCAGCAGCCGCGGUAAUACGGAGGAUGCGAGCGUUAUCCGGAUUUAUUGGGUUUAAAGGGUGCGUAGGCGGUGGUUCAAGCCAGCGGUCAAAUUGUGGGGCUCAACCCCGUACUGCCGUUGAAACUGCAUCCCUUGAGUGCGCGAGAGGUAUGCGGAAUGCGUGGUGUAGCGGUGAAAUGCAUAGAUAUCACGCAGAACUCCGAUUGCGAAGGCAGCAUACCGGCGCCCGACUGACGCUGAGGCACGAAAGCGUGGGGAUCGAACAGGAUUAGAUACCCGAGUAGUC
This 459-nucleotide ribosomal RNA is filed under the name uncultured bacterium. Its description in RNAcentral is "partial 16S ribosomal RNA". It matches the Rfam family "Bacterial small subunit ribosomal RNA", at positions 338 to 795 of the family's 1533-position model. The record is from RNAcentral.